Molecule: ribosomal RNA, 253 nt
Filed under: uncultured bacterium
Lineage: Bacteria
Description: partial 16S ribosomal RNA
Rfam family: Bacterial small subunit ribosomal RNA
Source: RNAcentral
UACGGGGGGGGCAAGCGUUGUUCGGAAUUACUGGGCGUAAAGGGCUCGUAGGCGGCCAACUAAGUCAGACGUGAAAUCCCUCGGCUUAACCGGGGAACUGCGUCUGAUACUGGAUGGCUUGAGUUUGGGAGAGGAAUGCGGAAUUCCAGGUGUAGCGGUGAAAUGCGUAGAUAUCUGGAGGAACACCGGUGGCGAAGGCGGCAUUCUGGACCAAUACUGACGCUGAGGAGCGAAAGCCAGGGGAGCAAACGGG